This 22-nucleotide non-coding RNA is filed under the name Arabidopsis thaliana (thale cress). The record is from RNAcentral. Lineage: Eukaryota; Viridiplantae; Streptophyta; Magnoliopsida; Brassicales; Brassicaceae.
CACUGGAUUCUCGUACGGACUA